UGCCUCUUUCAAAGGGAAGCAAGAGUCUCAUAGGGAAGGAGAUCUUGCACAGACCAAUCCCAAUCAGGAAGAGAGUCUUGUUGUCAAUGAAAGCUAUUUUUCUAUGUCACAUAUCUGCCUAUCUCGUGUUGGGAGCUAUAAAGUACCCACCAGGGGGGUGGACCAAGAAAGAGGCAGGCGAUUGGGUCCUUCCCAUCCUCUUUCUUUCACCCUUGCUGAUUAGCGAAGUGAGCAUACUCAAGAUCCAAUUCAUCAAUCAUUUGAGUUGGUACGAACAUAGGAAUCCAGACUCCGCUUGAUUCGAUCUUCAGUUUCGACCUUCAUCAUUCAGGAAAAAGAAGAAGGACCCACUUAUUUCACUCGGAG
RNAcentral lists this long non-coding RNA (366 nucleotides) under Hordeum vulgare. RNAcentral's name for it is "long non-coding RNA (HVUL_LNC009809)". The record is from RNAcentral. Lineage: Eukaryota; Viridiplantae; Streptophyta; Magnoliopsida; Poales; Poaceae.